Molecule: ribosomal RNA, 245 nt
Filed under: uncultured bacterium
Lineage: Bacteria
Description: partial 16S ribosomal RNA
Rfam family: Bacterial small subunit ribosomal RNA
Source: RNAcentral
UACAGAGGUCCCAAGCGUUGUUCGGAUUCACUGGGCGUAAAGGGUGCGUAGGUGGUGAGGUAAGUCGGAUGUGAAAUCUCCGAGCUCAACUCGGAAACUGCAUUGGAAACUACCUUGCACGAGGGUUGGAGGGGGGACUGGAAUGCUUGGUGUAGCAGUGAAAUGCGUAGAUAUCAAGCGGAACACCAGUGGCGAAGGCGAGUCCCUGGACAACUCCUGACACUGAGGCACGAAAGCUAGGGGAG